Trachemys scripta elegans is the source of this 4174-nucleotide RNA transcript. It is a transcript of the gene named neuropilin and tolloid like 1, with no coding region annotated. Lineage: Eukaryota; Metazoa; Chordata; Testudines; Emydidae. The transcript is spliced from 11 exons. The record is from RefSeq and is a predicted model, not a curated record.
CCGCGCCUCCCCCUUUGUUCCCUCCUCCAUUUCCUCCUGCGCGGGUGUCUUGAGGGUGCCAGGGAGGAGGCAAAGGGUGCAGACUGGAGGACCCUGUGUAGAAGGAGCUGGUGUUGCUGACUUAGCCCAGGACUGCUGCGGUGGGAGCUCCCCGCUGCUGGCAGGACCAGGAGCGGGGGAGGAGACUGCAGCUCCUUUCCUCCUCUUCCCUUGCGUUUACAUUUCUUUCUUUCCACCUUCCUUAGUCGUCCUCUUCUCCUCUAGAUUUUCUCCUUCUCUCCCUCCUUUUCCCCAGUAUUCCUCUGCUGCCUGUGUUUGGGCUGAGAGCUGGCUGGGGAGGGCGCUAAAAGAGGGGGAAGAGUGGGGGUGAAAGAUUUCCCUGCCUGUCGGGGGGUUGAUUGGAAGAGGCGAUCGUAUCUGCAGCCGAAGGAUUAACAGCUAAACUUUUAUUGCAGCCUCUGUGCUGUGUGUGUAAGUAAAUGGGGGAAGUCUCCGCUCAAAGAGGGAACGUGUCUUGUUUCCUUUUGACAGAUGCAGUUGGUGGGGUGGGGAACAAUGAACAUUUUCUUUAGGACAUAAAGUGAAGGAGGAAAAAACUCUCCUCUCCUCCCCCCCCUCAAGAAUCUACAGCAUACUCCUCCCCCCAGCCGUGAAAUGAACGGAAGAAUCUCCGGGAUUUUCUUCUGCUCUUCGCCCUGGACUAUAGGAGUGAGGGGAUCUCUCUCUACGUACAUCCAUCUCUCUAUCUCUCCAUCCAUCUCCGGGAGGAUUUGAGGCGGUGCAAUGUGCUUUCAGCCGCUUGCUGCCGCUGCCUGAUACCAUGCAACACGCAGAGAGAGGGUUUUGCAAAAAUGGAUUUGUUCGAUUUUAAAGGAUUUCUUCUCUAAUAAGGAUUGCAUUGCCCACAAAUAUGACUAAAUCUCCUGUUUGGUAAAUCUUCCUGCCCCCUCCCCUUCGGGCUCCCUCCCUCCACCCCUUCAGAGGAGCAAGCCCAGGGAGCUGAUGACGGACCCAUUAAUCCUUCCUUCAAUGCAUCAAAAGAACCCAAAGGUCUGGGAAACGUUGGGCUUGAAAUCCUACAGGAAAUGCUUCGACCGGCUUUUGGUUUUGUAUGAAACUGGUGAUUAGGGGGGAGGGGUUGUGCGAGCGAACCCCCUACUCAUUUGCCCCUGCCUCUUUCCUGGCCCCUUUUGAUGUGCUCUUUGCCAGGUGCUUGUCCUCCGGUCUCUCUCUCUCUGGCCCGUCGCCGCCAGUUAUGCAGACUCUCUGUCGUACUCGGCGCCUGCUGCUUUUGAUAUGAUUCAAAGAUGAGGGUGUUGAUGAUGAUCGCUCUGGUGUGAUGGGGUUGAGACGGCGGUGAUUGUUUGGAGGCGAGGAGGAGAGAAAGGAAGGGCUGCUACUGCUGCUACUACCCUUCGCUGUGUGUGUGGGCUUCAAUUUUCCUACUCCAUCCUCUCCCCACCACUGGAAGUCCUCCCGUAUCUAAAUGGAAUUAGUGGAGAUCGAAGCCCCUUGUGUAAGGAACAGACAUGAUCCAUGGGCGCAGUUUGUUUCACAUUGUAGCAAGUCUAAUCAUCCUACAUCUGUCUGGGGCAACAAAAAAAGGAACAGCAGAAAAGCAAACCACUUCAGAAGGGCAGAAACCAGUGCAGUGUGGAACUUGGACAAAAUAUGCAGAAGGAGGCAUCUUCACUUCUCCCAAUUACCCCAACAAGUAUCCUCCUGACAGAGAGUGCAUCUACAUUAUAGAAGCUGCCCCUCGACAAUGUAUUGAGCUACACUUUGAUGAAAAAUAUUCUGUAGAGCCUUCUUGGGAGUGUAAAUUUGAUCACAUUGAAGUGCGAGAUGGACCUUUUGGCUUUUCCCCAAUCAUUGGACGUUUCUGUGGACAGCAAAAUCCACCUAUGAUAAAAUCUAGUGGCAGAUUCCUGUGGAUUAAAUUUUUUGCUGAUGGUGAGCUGGAAUCUAUGGGUUUUUCUGCUCGAUAUAAUUUCACACCUGAUCCGGACUUUAAGGACCUGGGAGUUUUGAAACCAUUGCCAGUUUGUGAGUUUGAGAUGGGAGGACCUGAAGGAAUUGUGGAAUCUGUGCAAAUUGUGAAGGAAGGAAAAGCUUCUGAUACGGAGGCGGUUGACUGUAAAUGGUACAUCCGAGCACCACCACGAUCCAAGAUCUAUUUACGAUUCUUGGACUAUGAAAUGCAGAAUUCAAAUGAAUGCAAAAGGAAUUUUGUGGCUGUCUAUGAUGGAAGUAGCUCGGUGGAGGAUUUAAAAGCUAAAUUUUGUAGCACUGUUGCUAAUGAUGUGAUGCUGCGUACAGGUCUUGGGGUAAUCCGCAUGUGGGCAGACGAAGGCAGUCGAAACAGCCGAUUCCAGAUGCUCUUCACAUCUUUCCAAGAACCCCCCUGUGAAGCCAACUCAUUUUUUUGCCAUAGUAAUAUGUGUAUUAAUAAUACAUUGGUCUGCAAUGGACUCCAGAACUGUGUGUAUCCUUGGGAUGAGAACCACUGUAAAGAAAAAAGAAAGGCUAACAUUUUGGACCAACUUACCAAUACCAGUGGGACUAUAAUUGGGGUGACCUCUUGCAUUGUGAUCAUCCUCCUUGUUAUCUCUGUUAUAGUACAGAUCAAACAACCUCGUAAAAAAUUUGUCCAAAGGAAAACAGACUUUGAUCAAACAGUAUUCCAGGAGGUGUUUGAACCUCCUCAUUAUGAGUUAUGUACUCUUAGAGGGACAGGGGCUGCAGCUGACCUUGCAGAUGUUGCAGAUGACUUUGAAAAUUAUCAUAAACUGCGGCGAUCAUCUUCAAAAUGCAUUCAUGACCAUCACUGUGGAUCACAACUGUCUAGCACUAAGGGCAGCCGUAGUAACCUCAGCACAAGAGAUGCUUCUAUCUUGACAGAAAUACAACCCCAGCCUGUAAAGCCCCUCAUCCAGCCCAUGAACAGGAGAAAUAUCCUUGUCAUGAAGCAUAGCUACUCACAAGAUGCUGCAGAUGCGUCUGAGAUAGAUGAAAUUGAAGAGGUACCAACUACAAGUCACAGGCUGUCAAGACAUGAUAAAUCUGUCCAGCGCCAUAACAUUCCAGGUUCUGCCUCAUUGGGUCUCUAAGCAAACAUGAGUCUGAGUACAACACAACUAGGGUCUAAAAGACAAAUUCAAGGGAGAAAAUGUCUUAACUGUGUUUUGUUUUCAGAGAAGAACUAUUUACACAAACAUGGGGACUGUGAAAAGAAAAAUCUAUAGUGAAUUAUUUCAACUGUCUGGAAAAAAAGUGGAUAUAUUUCUAAAUUUCAUUCCACUGCCUUUAUCCAAACCUAAGAGUUAUAGACGUUUCUUACUUCCUCAGCAAGAUAUUCCCAUUGCAUAAUAACAUGUUUCUUUUGUAAUUUCGUUGCUGGCCACAAAGUGCUCCUUAGUUUUUAAAUACAUUUUGAGAUUUACUGGAAACUUGAAGAAGAAAUUAGUUCCUGGCUGAAACUAUCCUAGUUUUACUUUUUAUGUUAGUAUUAUUUCAGUUAAUACAUUUAUGUCUUUAUCAGCUUGUCUAUUGUGUAAUACGUGAAAGAAGAUGAUUAUACAUUGAACUUUUGUUAUAUGUACAUUGUUUUCAUUAUAUAGACUGCUUGAGAAUAGUGCGCUCCUGAGUGAUUUUGAACAUGCUACAAUGAAAUGUGAAACUAUGGACCAUGGAAACACCAGCUAGAGGUUUUAUGGACUCUCUGAUCACCUUUUCUCAUGAUAUCAUGAUAUGAUAAAGUUCAGCAAACUGUACUGAGUAAAAUUAUUAGAUGGCAAUAAGACUCUAAAUAUUAUCAUUAUUAGUCAUUUUUCUUUUUCUUUUUUUCCUCUCUUUAAAUUUGAUUACGAAGUAAGAUACCCAAUUUCAGGAACAAUUUAUUGAAAUCAGGUAUUUAGCCAUUCAUAAUCACUUCAAUAGAAAUGUUUGUUGGAUAUGCAUCUAGCAAAAUGACUGAAUUUGACCACUGAGAAAAUAAUCUGCAUGUAUGUUACUGAAUAUUUGAGUUGGCAAAAAAAAUCUCUUUUAUUAGAUACAUUGUAAAAAGCAUGCAUUCACAAUUACUGUUGUUACUGUUCCAUUUCUUUGUGUCAUAUGCUUGCUACUUGUAACUUUUUAUAUAAAGAUACAUAAAACAAUGUAUAAUAAUUUCUUA